Molecule: transfer RNA, 75 nt
Filed under: archaeon
Lineage: Archaea
Description: tRNA-Gly
Rfam family: tRNA
About the family: Transfer RNA (tRNA) molecules are approximately 80 nucleotides in length. Their secondary structure includes four short double-helical elements and three loops (D, anti-codon, and T loops).
Source: RNAcentral
GCACCGGUAGUACAGUGGUUAGUAUACGGCCUUGCCAUGGCUUUAUAUCCAGGUAUUCAAAUCCCAGCCGGUGCA